AGUGAACGCUGGCGGUAGACCUAACACAUGCAAGUCGAACGGCAGCACAGUAAGAGCUUGCUCUUACGGGUGGCGAGUGGCGGACGGGUGAGGAAUACAUCGGAAUCUACUUUUUCGUGGGGGAUAACGUAGGGAAACUUACGCUAAUACCGCAUACGACCUACGGGUGAAAGCAGGGGAUCUUCGGACCUUGCGCGAUUGAAUGAGCCGAUGUCGGAUUAGCUAGUUGGCGGGGUAAAGGCCCACCAAGGCGACGAUCCGUAGCUGGUCUGAGAGGAUGAUCAGCCACACUGGAACUGAGACACGGUCCAGACUCCUACGGGAGGCAGCAGUGGAGAAUAUUGGACAAUGGGCGCAAGCCUGAUCCAGCCAUACCGCGUGGGUGAAGAAGGCCUUCGGGUUGUAAAGCCCUUUUGUUGGGAAAGAAAAGCAGCAGGUUAAUACCCCGCUGUUCUGACGGUACCCAAAGAAUAAGCACCGGCUAACUUCGUG
RNAcentral lists this ribosomal RNA (492 nucleotides) under uncultured bacterium. Its description in RNAcentral is "partial 16S ribosomal RNA". It matches the Rfam family "Bacterial small subunit ribosomal RNA", at positions 29 to 507 of the family's 1533-position model. The record is from RNAcentral.